AGCCAGUGAAGACAAAUGCAAAGACUAACUUUUCUGACACCUACUAUGAGAGCUGAGCUGCAGCUCCUGAUUCUACCUGUAAUCUGAGGCUA
Molecule: small nucleolar RNA, 92 nt
Filed under: Mastacembelus armatus (zig-zag eel)
Lineage: Eukaryota; Metazoa; Chordata; Actinopteri; Synbranchiformes; Mastacembelidae
Description: Small nucleolar RNA SNORD60 (ENSMAMG00000008872.2)
Rfam family: Small nucleolar RNA SNORD60
About the family: U60 belongs to the C/D class of snoRNA which contain the C (UGAUGA) and D (CUGA) box motifs. Most of the members of the box C/D family function in directing site-specific 2'-O-methylation of substrate RNAs.
Source: Rfam by way of RNAcentral